Molecule: ribosomal RNA, 590 nt
Filed under: uncultured bacterium
Lineage: Bacteria
Description: bacterial SSU rRNA
Rfam family: Bacterial small subunit ribosomal RNA
Source: RNAcentral
CCUACGGGAGGCAGCAGUGGGGAAUAUUGGACAAUGGGCGCAAGCCUGAUCCAGCAAUACCGCGUGGGUGAUGAAGGUCUUCGGAUUGUAAAGCCCUUUUAGUAGAGAAGAUAAUGACGGUAUCUACAGAAAAAGCACCGGCAAACUUCGUGCCAGCAGCCGCGGUAAUACGAAGGGUGCUAGCGUUGUUCGGAAUCACUGGGCGUAAAGGGUACGUAGGCGGUUUGGUAAGUCGAUUGUGAAAGCCCCAGGCUCAACCUGGGAACUGCAAUCGAAACUACUUUACUUGAGUUUGGUAGGGGAUGGUGGAAUUCCUAGUGUAGGGGUGAAAUCCGUAGAGAUUAGGAAGAACACCAGUGGCGAAGGCGACCAUCUAUGCCAAUACUGACGCUGAGGUACGAAAGCGUGGGGAGCAAACAGGAUUAGAUACCCUGGUAGUCCACGCCCUAAACGAUGAAUGCUAGUUGUCGGGGCCUUAGGCUUCGGCGGCGAAGUUAACACGAUAAGCAUUCCGCCGGGGAGUACGGUCGCAAGACUAAAACUCAAAGAUAGUAGCGNGNGAGNGCGACGAACGACGACGAGAGGUAGAG